Molecule: ribosomal RNA, 253 nt
Filed under: uncultured bacterium
Lineage: Bacteria
Description: partial 16S ribosomal RNA
Rfam family: Bacterial small subunit ribosomal RNA
Source: RNAcentral
UACGGAGGGAGCUAGCGUUGUUCGGAAUUACUGGGCGUAAAGCGCGCGUAGGCGGCCUUGCAAGUUAGAGGUGAAAGCCCGGAGCUCAACUCCGGAACUGCCUUUAAAACUGCAUAGCUUGAAUCCGGGAGAGGUGAGUGGAAUUCCGAGUGUAGAGGUGAAAUGCGUAGAUAUCAGGAGGAACACCAAUGGCGAAGGCAGCUCGCUGGGACGGUACUGACGCUGAGGCGCGAAAGCGUGGGGAGCAAACAGG